Phrynosoma platyrhinos (Desert horned lizard) is the source of this 73-nucleotide non-coding RNA. The record is from the annotation of a GenBank genome assembly. NCBI's taxonomy places the organism in Eukaryota, Metazoa, Chordata, Lepidosauria, Squamata, Phrynosomatidae.
GCCAGUGUAGUUUAGUGGUUUGGGUGUUAGACUACGACCCUGGAGACCAGGGGUUCGAAUCCCCACUCAGCCA